CAACCUGCACUCCCACGCCACCUCUCACUACAGCCCUUACACCCAGGUGUUAGUUUUCAAGAGGGGCUCGAGGGCGAAGGAGGGUUGAGGUUUACUAAUGUAGAAAAACAACAGACAGAUUGGACGCAACCUUGAGCAGCGGGGUUUGGAAAGAGCUCUAAAGAGACUCCAAGGUCAGUGGAUGUGGGAACUGCUGCUGUCUCCUGGGUCUGACGGAAAUAGUGACCAAAUCAAAGACGGCUCAUGAGUGAUACGUUCACUGAGGUCACAUCUAUUUAUUACUGCAGGGGGAGAGUAUCACAUAUACAGCAGGUCUAUAAUGGAAGGGACAGUAAUGAUGCCUGAUGUAUGUCAUCAGCAGGUGUGAAUGACUUGUCAUCGUGGAAGUUAUUAUCCAAGUGACUACAGCUUAUACAACCCUGCAUUUACCUUUCACUGUACACGAGUCAGAACAUGAUCCAAGCAGAGAGACUACAGGGUCAUGUUGUCACAGCAACACAACGUUGGUUGUACAGGGUACUCUGAAGCGUCGCCCUGAGUGGAGCAACGCAGGCUCAGUGUACGAGGUGGCGUUUAGUGCUUUCCUAUAUGUACUGAAACUGAACUGUAUGAAGCUAAUUGUUUCCUUUCUCAUCAAAUACAUUUAAAAAAGAAAAUUUGCUUCCAUUUGUAAUAUCAGUUGUUCUGGCAGGAAGUGAAGUAUUUCAAUAAAAAAUGGGAAAAUCUGGAGCCCUAAAUUGCAAAUGAUGAGGUUAAUUGAAUUAAUGAGCAUUUUAUACCGAUUAAAAUCUGCAGCUACUGGAAACUGAUAACCAAUCUCAUCCAAGAAAACCGCAUCAGCAGUAGUGCCAGUGGAGUCUUUUACCACUGACUUUGUGUUAUAAAUACUUUAUUCCACAAGUGAAGGAAACAUUAUUAGCUCGAUUGGAACAUGAAAGAAACAAUAAAAAACAAAUGAGAAGCUGAUAGGGAUCUGUGGUAAACUUGGCAGACAAUUUCCUCUCCUCACCUCUCCCAUGAGUAGCAGCACCCACCAGAGCUAGAGGCGUCCCACUGGGAGAGCCUCUCUGUGGUUAUCAUACCCCAUCUAGUGGCUGCACUGGGUUAAAGGAGCGAAGAGGAGGAGGAGGAGGACAGUGUCAGCAGCAUUUUUUAGACCUCGACUGCAGCUGCUCUCUGCACUUAUGUUUAUUCAGUUAAAUAAUACAGAUCGAUAGAUAGAUAGAUAGAUAGAUAGAUAGAUAGAUAGAUAGAUAGAUAGAUAGAUAGAUAGAUAGAUAGAUAGAUAGAUAGAUAGAUAGAUAGAUAGAUAGAUAGAUAGAUAGAAAGAAAGAAAGAUAGAAAGAAAUCAAAAACGUCUUGCUUUGGUUGAAACAUAAUAGCGACUUUGGAUGCAAAUGACUGUAAAAUUAAAAGAAAACAGAGACAUAAUUUAUUUUAAUUUGAUUAUAUGUUUAAAUGUCUCAUUAAGGAGAGCUUCAAUAUGGUCUGACAAUAUAGUAGUGCAAGACACAACAGUCCUGUAGGUGCAAAUUGAAUUUGAUUUAGGGGGAAAGAAAAAAAAAAGGCUUAUGGAGGUGUUGAGACUGAAGCGGUACGCGGUUCAUGUUACAGAGAUAUGAAGCCAUAAGAAUGUGUGAAAGCAAUGCCCUCUAGAUCCCCUCUUUUCACAACCCUAUUAUCCAAUUGAAAACUGAUCUUCAGCGAACUCCCAUUGUGUGCCUCGCUCAGAGAAUAAAUGCACCAAAAUUGAUCUCAGGUCUCUGAAGUGGGCCCGCAGAGCUGGAGUUUACACAUGGGACCAUUUUAUUCACUUCUGGUGGCAAUUUACAAACAUGCAAAACUGCGAGCUCACCACCGCAACCUGUGAGCCAAAUGCAGGAGUUCCACCUGUCUCAUAACCUUGUUGGAGCACAAUUUUCCUGCCUGCAGAGAAAGAGGAGGAGGGGGAAAGAAAUGUUGCUGUGACAAUGUCAAACAAUGUGUGUUAACAAUUCAACUCAGUACAGUGGGAAUGUCAUGCAGAAAGAGCAGCCAGUUGGAAGAUCUGCUAAUGUAUUGUGACUCCUGCUGUCAGCAGUUCAACUCUACACUCUCUUCCUGUAAUUUUCAGCCAUCUCCACUGCACUGAUACCGUUUCAAAAGCCUGCUCUCUAUCACUCAUACUGAAGCUGUGGGGGCUAUUAACUGUUUGCUCCGGGUUUGAUGUUUUACAUUGUAUCAGAGCAAAGAAAGAUGCUUUCAAAACACGCCCGUGCGGCCCAGCUGAAUUAAAGAUGCUCCUGUUGAAAGGAUGAUCAGUCUGUUUUGUGCCACAUUUAAGGUCUCCUUGUGAGUUCCAGCUUGUAGUCACAUUUUUUUGAAGAUACAACCUGGCAUUACUUACAAAUGGACUCUGUAACAAAGCAUACUUCUGGCGACUGUUGGUUUUAUUUUAGAAAUCAAGCAUCAUCUAACUGUUUUAUGCCAUAGCAACAAAUUAAACAUGUAAUUACUUGUAACUUAUGUCGGAUUUCUUGUCUGUAUUUUAUGUUUGUCCAGCGAGUAAAGAUGCAAGUCUCUAAGCAAUGUAAAAAGCCCAGUUCACAACAUAACCACCACUAUAAUGUAAGCAGAUAUAUUUACAUUUUAAGUGUUUAUUAAUGCAUUUGUCAACAACUAUAACUCCUUCUAUGAACCAUAACUGGUGUUACAUUAAACCAACAUAUAAUAUGACACGGUUGUAAUCAAACUGUGUCUCCAUAUUUAUUGGAUUUUAUUAACAAUAAAUAUUUAUAUAUUGAAUGUACAUUUUUAGUAAUCAUGAUAUUUUGCUAGCCACAUUAAGACAGUGGGGUUUCCAUGGUAAUACAGUAUACCACAGCAGUUAACUAGCUUUAUGGGCAAUGUGUGUAAUGGCAAAACCAGUUCAAAUAAAAUGUGGUGUACCACAAGGUUCUAUUUUAGGACCCUUAUUAUAUCUU
Molecule: long non-coding RNA, 2963 nt
Organism: Dicentrarchus labrax (European seabass)
Lineage: Eukaryota; Metazoa; Chordata; Actinopteri; Moronidae
Source: Ensembl